RNAcentral lists this long non-coding RNA (9825 nucleotides) under Homo sapiens (human). RNAcentral describes it as "HSALNT0356680". Lineage: Eukaryota; Metazoa; Chordata; Mammalia; Primates; Hominidae. The record is from RNAcentral.
AUUCAGGCCUCCGCCAGCUUCUAGGCCCUGGGGAUGGUCUUUCACCUCCCUCUUUCUGAUCUCUUUUUCAUGCUCCUCCUUGCUCCAAAGAAAAGCCGGAUGGCAAAAGAGCCCAGAACCUAUUGGAACUGACAAAAUCAAGUCACGGCGCCUACAAAGAUGAGGGGCAGAUUCUGGCUGCCUUUUAAUUUCGUCCUUCACCUGAUAUCUGUGCCAGAGAAUGAUAAAAAUCAUAAUAAAGGAAAUAAUGGAAGAGGAGACUUAUGUUACUGGGGACAUCUAACAUAAUUAUUUUCCUGAUUCAGUGGCAUGGUUCAGUCUUCCAGGAGUUCUGCUACAGAGAAGAGAGUAACCCCCAUCCAUCAUGGCCAAAGCACCCAGUCAGGCUCCGCUCUGGAUCCAGCCCGACAAAUGCAACCCUUGAAUAGGGUUUGUGCAAGCAAACUGGAUGACGACCGAAGAAACCCUGUCGCUUCUGAGAAGACACCCAAUCCAAGAAUGUGAGUUCUGGAAAUGUCAUUAAAUGUCAGUUAUAUACAUGCUUACGUGUCCAUAUUAGCUAUGCAAUCACCAUCAGCAAGUUCUUUUUCUCAACCAAAAAAAGAAGUAAAUUUCUCUGCUAAUUAAAUAUUUCCUCAGGCCAGCCACAGCAUCCAGCUGAAAUAAGAAUUUUAAUGGGAAAAUACCUUAUCUGUAUUCAGUGUUGACUCCAUGCUAAUUUGAGUGUUUGAGAUGGCUAUUAGGUGCUGUAACAUUAAAUAAUUUACAAAUACUUAAAUAUUUGAACCAUAACUACAGUUUUAAAAUAAGUUUACUCAUCUAAGAGUGAAGAUUCUCUUACAAUCUGCAAGUCUAUAGCUCAACUUUUACAUAUUCAUGUUUUAUAUUCAUUUUCAGGAAAGCAUCAGGUUCAAUACCUAGGAACUCCUGUAGAGGGUGUUGUGGAAUCUUCUUUAAAAGAACAAAACAAGGCAAAACAAAGUUUAAUAGGGUAGAGCAGCCAGGUGUGGUGGGUCAUGCCUGUAAUCUCAGCAAUUUGGGAGGCCAAGGCAGGAUCUCAGCAAUUUGGGAGGCGAAGGCAGGCAGAUCACUUGAGCCUAGGAGUUCAAGACCAGCUUGGGCAACAUAGCAAGACCCUGCCUAUACCAAAAAAAAAAAGUGAACCUAGGAGUAUGAGGCUGCAGUAAGCUGUGGUUGUACCAGUGCACUUUGGGAGGCCAAGGUAGGCGGGUCUUCUGAGAUCGAGAGUUUGAGACCAGCCUGACCAACAUGGAGAAACCCCGUCUCUACUAAAAGUACAAAAUUAGCCGGCAUGGUGGUGCAUGCCUGUAAUCCCAGCUACUCGGGAGGCUGAGGCGGGAGAAUUGCUUGAACUCAGGAGGCAGAGGUUGUGGUGAGCCAAGAUCGCGCCAUUGCACUCCAGCCUGGACAACAAGAGCGAAACUCCAUCACAAACAAACAAACAAUAAACAAAAACCAUAGAGUGAUUUCUGGCCAACAGAGCAAGAAAGAAGUGAACCAAUGAAAACCGGUCCAAGUCUGGGAGUCAAUAUGGAAAAGCUGCCUAAUUAAUGUGGAAGCCCCAGGGAAAUGAUAUACCAUGAAAACCUAACACUACAAAAACUAGUUGUCAGACACAUGUGAGCAGUGAACAGAAUCCUAAUAUGCUGGUUUAACAUUCAAAACUGGAGAGUGUUUGUGUAUCUUCUAAAGACUGUUUGGGGUUUAUUUGUGGAGUUCAGCUGAGUGUCAUCAGAACAAAGAUUAGUGCAAAAAAUCUUUCAGAAAUCAUGCCCAAACAUUUGCAUGCACCUUAAAUAAGAAAUGAAAUAGCAAGAAGAGUAUGUCACAAUAAAGUAUAAAUAGCAAGUGAUAUGUCUCAUCGUACUGAGACAGUUUUAUAAAUGAGGCAAAGGCCUUGUCAAAAAAUAAUGAUGAUUUUCAAAAUUCUGAAACGCAAAGGAGGAAAACUACUUCAUUCAGUUAACAGGAAGCACACAAGAAUCUCCCCAUCAACCAAGAUUUUUUUUUUCUAUAACCCACGCUUUGUAAGACAAUAAUAGCAAAAACUAUAAACUAGAAUUUGUUGAAAGAACAACUUCUAGAAUUUGCCCUUUAUGUGCUGUUUUACCAUUGUCAUGUCUGUCUCUGGUAUGACUUCCUCAUCUAUUAGUAGCCUCCUAAUAAAUUUGAACAAAUGAAUGAAUGAAUAAGAGACAACUAAGCAUGAGGUAUUGCAAGAUGGUAACUCAUCCAGGGAAAAUUAAAACCUGGAGUGGAUCAGAUGGAAAAACAAAAUAAGACACUAGAAAAAAAUCACCAGGAGGGUUUCAAACCAAAAGAUCCCCUGGUUAACCUUCAGCUAAUUAUAAGAUUUAAUUAACUAGAAAAACUCAAUCCUUGUUUAUUCUAUUUAAUUGAGAUUUUACCAUAUUUAAAAUGAUGUUACUCAAGUGUUCUCAUUAAUAUUUAAUGAAAGUGUGAGAGAAUUGGCUAACCAAAUUUACUGUGCUUAGGUAAACUGUAAUUAGGAAGGGUUAGCAGAGCAUCCCAAGGGACCUAUCAAUCACAAAAUGAAGCGAUACAAUUACAGAUGAAUUUCAACAAGGAAACACACAAAACAGUGAUCCUCAAAAAAGAUGGAAUAAAAUUACUUGAAUGUGGUAGUCGGUUCUGAGAAAUGCAAUCAAUCACAUGUCAUUUCAGACAACUCAGAAGGAAUAACCCUACCCAACAGACUUGAACUCUUUGUGUGUGUGUGUGUGUGUGUGUCUGUGUGUGUGAUAGAAUUUCACUCUUGUCGCCCAGGCUGGAGUGCAGUGCGAUCUCGGCUCACUGCAACCUCUGCCUCCCAGGUUCAAGCAAUUCUUCUGCCUCACCCUCCCUAGUAGCUGAGAUUAUAGGUGCCCACCACCACACCCGGCUAAUUUUGUAUUUUUAGUAGAGAAGGGGUUUCACCAUGUUGGCCAGGCUGGUCUCGAACUCCUGACCUCAGGUGAUCUUCCCACCUGGGCCUCCCAAAGUGCUGGGAUUACAGGCAUGAGCCACUGCACCUGGCCCAGACUUGAACUCUUGAUUGCAUGAAAGUGUAUUAAUCUUCUAUCUGCUUAUUCCCAAUUUCCCAGCUGAUAAAAUGCCCCACUGUUAUUUCACUUAAAUUUGGAAUAACCUGCAUCUAGUUAAGUUGGAGCUACUUUGUCUUGUUGCAGAUUUUCUUUUGCUUUGCUGUCUUCAUUCUAACUUGGCAGAGCCCAGGUGCUUUGUCUCUAUUUGCCUGCAAGACCUCUUUUCCAAGACAUGUCAGGUUUCUCUCUAAAGUACCUUCCACCUGGAGGAUAUCUGUUCUUGUUCUUUAAUUCCUGGCCCUAUUUCCUAUUCAUCUGAAAAACUAGGCUUUGUGAGCAGGAUCAUGCAUGGCAAUGAGUUCUAAUGAGUUUUUAAUGUUUCACACUUCAUGAUGAACAUAUAUUUGCAUUUCAGAAAAUGCUUUUAAGGAAUGUUUUUUUUUUUCUGCCCUCACUCCUAACUCAGUUGCCUUUAAGCAAAACCAAAGAGAGCCAUGGCCAGCCUGUUCAAAUGGCUGCAAUCAUUUAAGCCCCUCUCGCUGCACCCUGGCCCCUCUUGCCUCCCUAGCCUGCCCAUGCUUGCCCCUGUCUCAACUUCUACCCCCACUCCAGCUGAAGAGAUUUGCCAUUCUCAGCUUUCACCUUUGGGGAUCCCUCUUGACCAUGGUUAGCAAUUGCUGUGACCAUCCUCACAUCACAGAUUUUUGGGCUUCUGUUUCUUAGGACAAUGCCUGCUCUCCCUGCUAGCCUAUCCCUCAUCCCAGGCCCUCCAACCUCCAGCCACUGCAACUCUAGAGCCACAUCCUAUCCCAUUGACUAACCCAACUGCCAAGCCAAGCCCAAUCCCCAGACCUGGAGCUCAGAGAAAUUAUUAAUCCAAUCAAAGGCACUAAAGUUGGGAUUCUGACUCUGAAGCAGGUACCAAAUUUUGGACAGAGAGGGGCUCCUGAAACCAUACUAUUCCUGCAUUAAGUGUCUGGCACUAGGCAGGGGAUAUGAUGUGAUCUAACAAGGCCAUGCACUGGAAUUAACCUGCGUGAGCUCCACUUGGCUGCCCUCUAAAGGUCAAUGCAUUGUUUGAGCCUAGGGGAGCCAGUCACUGCUACAUCAAUGGCUGCAUCACGGUAUCCUUUUUAGGACUAAACCUGCAUUUUCCUAAUAUUCAGGUCUGUAGAAACUUUGACUGCAAGAAUUUUACAGGAAUGGGUAAAUAUCUGUAAGUACUUAAAAGUAUAUAUGGUAAUAUACAAUAUGAUAGAAGAAAUAAGACCUAAUGUUAGAUAGAUCAGCAGGGUAAUUAUAGUUUACAACCAUCUUUUGUACAAUUCAAAAUAGCUACAAGAGAAAAAGGUGAGUGUUUUUAGCAUAAAGAAAAGACAAAUACUUAAUGGAUAUCCCAAGUAUACUGAUUUGAUAUUUACAAAUUAUACAAAUGUAUUAAAUUGUCAUGUGUACUCCAAAACUAUGUACAUUAUUAUGCAUCAAUUAACAAAAGAUAAAAGUAUGUAUGAAUCAGUAAGUACUUCUAAGGACCUGUAAAUCCAUAUAAGUGCACAUUAGUAUAAGAGAACUAAGGAGAAUUUGAGAUCAGUGUUUACACAGUGCUAGCAUUUUGUUAUCUAAAACACCUCUUUUUCAACUCUAUCAAAGAUUGAAUGCAUUUUUUAAUUCAAGGAAUAUAAUAUUCAGGAUGAUUAUUUUUAUUACAGCUGUGGGCUUUUUCCUUGGGCAUUGAACGCUUCCAUUUAGUUCAACUACUUAUUAUCUUUUCUUCUCCUCUUCUUUUUUUUUUUUGCUUAACUUUCUAUUUCUUUCCCAGUAAUAACAUAUAUUUUCUCAACUUCUUAAAUCUCUUUAUUAGAUACAGUCGAAUGUAAUUUGGAAUUUACGAGUCUUAUCACAUUCUCAUUCUGCUUGAGCAAUUCAAGAUAUAAGAAAAACAGACUGUCUACAUUUCUUCAGAGUUCCUCCAACUAUUGGCUUAAAAUUCCUGAAAUUAAAAUUAUAGUUCUUUGACAUCGCUUCUGUCUAAUCAUUGCUGAUACCUGGAAAACACCAAAUGGCUUACUUACACAGUGUCCCACUCUGAAAUUUCUCACAUAAAGGAUUGUCUUACACAGAAAUACUGACCAUUUUGACAAGGGAAUGGCCCUAGAAUUGGGCCAGAGCUAAAAAUAAGCAGAAUAAACAAUUUUGAUAUUCUUCUUCAAUGGUCAUAAAUCUAGUUAGCAUGUUAUCAUUUACAUAUUAUGAUUUUGUUCAUGAUAGUUGUAGUAGAAUGGCCUAAAGAAAUCAAGAUCUGUUUUAUCUUCUACAUUACUUUAGUUACUGUAAGACUGAUAACUCACAUUGUCGUUUACCAAGUAUUUCCAUUUGUUCCUUGGAAUAAUCCUGUGAAGUGGGUAUUUUUUAUCACUAGUUUCAUAUAAUGAAUAUAUUACUGUUAAUGUCAAUACAUUCUAUUUAUCCAGCUCACUUAUUCUAGUAUUCUCUCUGCAGUGAUUCUUUAAUCUCAUUGAGAAGCCCCCAUGCCCAAUACACGCCUCCUAUCUUCAUACACGCCUCCUAUCUUCAUUUCCCUCCUUCCCCAACUCACACCCUUGAAAACAUUCUUAUCUCUCUUGUUUCUUUUUCUGUUGUCCUUGACUGGCAAAUUUGGAGGCAUGGAUGUACCCAACUCUUUGCCAUUUGGGGCUACCCCCAACUAGCCAAAUACUGCUAGAGAAACUCUCCUGAAUGAUUUCACUCUAAGUUCUAUGAACUUCAAAUGGGCAUUUAAGGAUACCUGGCAGUCCUACUAUGUUUUCCUAAUAAAUUUCAUUUUCCUCUUUCAAAAUUGUUAUUUAUUCUCCCGUCUCCUCCAACCUCCCAUAUCCCCACCUCCACACUCACUCUCUGCUGCUGAUGACCUCACUUCAUACUUUAUUGAAAAAAAUAGAAGCCUGCAGAGGAGCAACACUUUCAUACUGCUCCCACUGUAUCUAAAAAUCUCUAAGUUUCUGUGCCUGUCUUAGUCAGCUUGGGCUGCCAUAACAAAAUACCAUAAAAUGAGUGGCUUAAACAACAGAAAUUUUUCAUCUCAUAUUUUGAAGACUCAAAAUGUUGGCAUCGUUGGUACCUGGUGAGGGCUCUCUUCCUGGCUUGCAGACAGCUGCCUGCUGGCUGGGUCCUCACAUUGUCUUUUCUUGGUGCAUGCAUGAGGGAGAGAGUGCUAGUGUCUCUUCCUCUUCUUAUAAAGACACCAGCCCUAUCAAAUUAAGGGGUAGCUCUAUGACCUCAUUUAAAUAGAAUUAUCUCCCUAAAGACCUUAUCUUCUAAUAUAGUCACAUUUGAGACUGUGGCUUCAACAUGAAUUUUGGGGAGACAGAAUUCAGUCCUUCAGAGUGCCUGUGUUUUUCAUCUUACCAUAUGUUACAACAGAAAAAAAUGUCCCUGCUCUCAUCAAAAAUCAGUAACCCCCAGUAUGUUCUGGCUCCUGCCCGUCUCACUUUCUUAACAUUACUGACCCCCUCAUCUCUUCCUUCUCUUACAUAACUAGGGUUAUCCUUCUCACAAGCACACAAACACGCUCCUCCCUUGACUCCAUAAUCCCUCUCCAUCUCCCAACUCAUUUUUCUACCCCCUGUAAGCACCACUUCUCUAACAAAUUAUCUAAAAUUACUGCUUCCCCUUCCUCAACAAUCUAUUCCCUCAUCAGAAGACUUAAAACUGGCUAAUGUAGCUUCUGGGACUCAGAAAAUGAAAGCCCAAAAUAUGACACUUCAGACUUCAAACUGAGAGCACAUGGAGAGCAGCAAAUGCAGAGAAGGACUUUCCCCAAAGGUCCCUCCCUACCUAAACACAGGAUUCUCCUAAGAUACUCAAUCAUUGUCAAUCGCUUCCCCAGGGUAUCUCAAUGACUGGGAGAAGACUGAAGCCUAUCCCAGGAAAAGAAGACUAGAAUUGAUGACACACCAGGAGUCCAGAUGGGCUUUGUCUCAGACUACCAUCUGUUCUUCAGGCCCAUUCAUCUUCCCUAAAACUCAUUUACUCCUCCUCUAAAUUGUCUGCAUCCCACCCUUCCCCCUCCCUGUGAAGAAGGGUAUAUAAGCUUCUAAAUCCCAUUGGGUCAUUGGACACUCACCUUCCUGGAAUGCACGCAUACACAUAAUAUAUGUGUUAGCCUUUUCUCUCGUUAAGUGAUCUGUUAGUUUAUUUCUCAGACUCAAAUAUCAGACAUGCAGAGUGGAAAGAAAGGGCUCUCUCACCCAACAUGGCUCAUCUCAAGCUCAUCAAAAGCCCCCAUGUUCCAAAUUCAAUGGACGCCUCACUUGUCUUUUUUUUUUUUUUUUUUUUUUUUGAGACAGAAUCCUGCUCUGUCACCCAGGCUGGAGUGCAGUGGCAUGAUAUCGGCUCACUGCAACCUCCACCUCCCAGGUUUAUGCGAUUCUCCUGCCUCAGCCUCCCGAGUAACUGGGAUUACAGGUGCGCCACCGUGCUCAGCUAAUUUUUUUAUUUUUAGUAGAGACAGGGUUUCACCAUGUUGCCCAGGCUGGUCUUGAACUCCUGACCUCAAGUGAUCCACCGGCCUCAGCCUCCCAAAGGGCUGGGAUUACAGAGGUGAGCCACUGUACUGGGCCGCACUUAUCUUACUUGAUCUUUCAAGAACACCUGACCCAGUCAACUGCUCCUCUUCCCUGAAAACCACAUCACACUCUCCUGGUUUUCUUUCUGCAUCCCUGGCUGCUCCCUCUGCCUCUCCUUUGCUGGCUUCUGCUUCUCUUUCAAGCCUCUAAAUGUGGGAAUACCCUAGAACUUGCUCCUAGAUCCCCUUUUCUUCUCCACCUAUCUCCAGAGCUAAGUGAGCUCAUUCUACUCUCUGGCUUUGAGUCCUAUCUCUCUGGCGAUGACACCCAGAUUGAUAUGUGCAGUUCUGACCUCUCCCUUGAGCUCCAGACUCAUUUAUAUGGUCGAAAUGCCCAUCUGACAUUUCCAAUUGGACGUCUAAUAGUCUUGUCAAAUGUAGCAUAUCCAAAACAUAACCUUUGACUUCCCUCUUUUCCAGUCUUCCCCAUCUCUAUGGAUGGUAAUGAACUGCUCAAGCCAAACAUUUAUCAUUCGGAUUCCUGUCCUUCUCUUCUCUCCUAUACCCGGGCUUUUGACGAUUCAGCCGUAAAUCCAUCUACUUCUCUUUAUCGGUACUUCUAUUGCCUCAUUCAAGGCACAUCAGCUCUUGUCUGGAUGGAAGCCAUGGCCCCAUAAGUAGUCUUUCUGCUUCAAUUGCCUGACUGCCACACAUUCUCUAUGCAGCUAUCAGAGUACUCUUUUAAAAACUUAAAUCAUACUUGUCAUACAUGACAUAUUGUCAUGCCCUUGCUCAGAACCCUUCUGAGGCUUCACUUAUUAUUAGAAUAAAACUCAUCCUCACCAAGGCUUGCAUCCUACAACAUAACCUGACUUAGUAGGUCUAUUUCCUCCUUUGCUCUCUGUAUUGGUCCAUUUACAUUGCUGUAAAUAAAUGCCUGAGACUGGGUAGUUCAUCAGGAAAAGAGGUUUAUUUGGCUCACAGUUCUGCAGGCUGUACACAAAGCAUCGUGCCAGCAUCUGCUUCUGGUGAGGGAUUCAGGAAGCUUAUAAUCAUGGCGGGAUGUAAAGGAGAGCCAGCACAUCACAUGGAUAGAGAGAGAGAGAGAGGAGACAGUGCCAGGCUUUUUGAAACAACCAGAUCUUGUGUGAACUCAGAGAAUAAGAACUCACUCAUUACUGCCGAGACAUUCAUGAGGGAUCUGCCCCCAUGACCCAAACACCUCUCACUAGGCCCACUUCUAACACUGAAGCUCACAUUUCAACAUGAGAUUUGGAGGGGACAACCAUCCAAACCCUAUCACCCUCCAUGAUCCAUUCUUUCUGCUUCUCAAAUAUGCCAUGUUUAGGGCUGCUGUUCCUCUGCCUUGAGCGUUCCUGUUAGUGCUUCAGGUCUUAACUCGAAUGUCAACCCCUCAGAGUGACUUUUGCUACUCCCUAUGGAAUGCUCACCUCCCACCCCCGCCAUCAGCAUUUAUUUCGACUUCUUUCCUACCACUUAGCACAGUGAGCUCCAGGAGGGCAGGCUUUUGUCUGGCAUGCUCCCUGCACAUUCUCCAGCACCAAGCACAGACCUGGCACACAAUGAAUGUUCACUGAAAGAAUGAAGUUGAUCUCAGACUCUCCACCCAGCUCCAGGCUGCCAAAAUAAGCCCCUAAUUGCCUUCCCUGCUUCUCCUUUUGUUCCUGCCCCAUCUGUCUCCUAGGGAGAAUUGUCUCAGCUAGACCAGUCCUGGGCUCUUCACACAUCAGAGUUAGAGAGUUGACAGGGAAUUAAUAGAAGAUAGAACCUGAAAGGCUUAGGAGGGGUAAGACUUGGAGAAAUCUGUUGUCAGUCAAAAAUAAUAAAGUACAGAGGUGUAUGUGAGGAGGUAGGGGAGGGAGUACAGGAAGGGGAAAGAAAUCUAUAUAGUCCAGGUGUAAGUGAGAAAGUUCUUUCAGCAUUUGUCAAACUUGAGUUUGGGAGAGGGUGUGGGAAAUAAAUAACUGAGAAGAGUAAAUGGGAUUGCAGCAUAGAUGAGGAUUCUGAAUUAGGGCCACUCUGUCACCCAGGCUGGAGUACAGUAGUGCGAUCAAAGCUCACUGCAGCCUGGAGCUCCUGGUCUCAAGCAAUCCUCCCACCUCAGCCUUCCAAGUAGCUGGGACUACAGGCAUGUGCCACCAAACUCAGCUAAUUUUUUUUUGCAUUUUUUUGCAG